This 257-nucleotide unclassified non-coding RNA is filed under the name uncultured fungus. RNAcentral describes it as "sequence contains ITS1, 5.8S rRNA gene". The stretch from base 209 to 257 matches the Rfam family "5.8S ribosomal RNA", at positions 1 to 49 of the family's 154-position model. Lineage: Eukaryota; Fungi. The record is from RNAcentral.
UCUCCGUUGGUGAACCAGCGGAGGGAUCAUUACAAGUAGAGUUUACGAACUCUUAAACCCUUUGUGAACCUUACCUAUCGUUGCUUCGGCGGGAUCGCCCCGGGCCGCCCCUUCACGGGGGCCUCCGGAACCAGGCGCCCGCCGGAGAACCCAAACUCUUGUUUUAUAUGGUUUUCUCCUCUGAGUGGAUUAUAAACAAAUAAAUCAAAACUUUCAACAACGGAUCUCUUGGUUCUGGCAUCGAUGAAGAACGCAGC